This 749-nucleotide unclassified non-coding RNA is filed under the name Hevea brasiliensis (rubber tree). The record is from RNAcentral. Lineage: Eukaryota; Viridiplantae; Streptophyta; Magnoliopsida; Malpighiales; Euphorbiaceae.
AAAGAGAGAAAAAAAAAAGGCAGCAAAAUGAUCAAUGGGUACCAAAACCAACACCGGGCAUGAGCAAACAUGACAGUUAUUGAUUUCUCAAUCAUCAUACAAGGAAACUACAGGUUCUUUCAAUUUGUUGAUGUAGUUUAGGCAUCCAAUCAUCUAGACCAAUUAUGAAUAGUCAUUUCCGACAUCUUCGCAUAUCAGCCAACACCUGACCCGAGUAAAAUCACCAUGCAUAUAUAUCAACAAGCGAGACCAAGACUGCAGAAAAUUGGUAAUGCAAAACCCCAGCUUCUAACACCAAAAACACUUACAUUCAACCACAAAACAAGUAUGCCACAGGGCUACAACCUUCAUACAUAGAGAAACAAAAGUUCAAAACUGCUCAAAGCAUGCUACUACAAUAUAGAAUUACUUAUUUCAAUUCCCCAUCCUAACAUGCCUAAAUGAAUAAUCUGGCUCGUUUGCUAAUUGAUACCUUUCCCAAAUGAGCUUCAGUUACAAUUAGGGCCUGGGAUUCACCAAUUAGGAAUUUGGAGGAGGAGUUGAAGAGGAAUUUCCACGGCGAAGAUCUUCAAUCAAGUCACCGAGCUCCUUGCGAGCUGAUUCUCUUCCGAACAUAAAACCAUACCAAAAGGAAACAGCAGAGAAUAAUCCUGCAGUGGCAACUGUUUGAAUGAGAGUGAAUGUUUUUCCCAUUUCUUUUCACUUGGCUAGCGUGCGUCUCUUCUACUUCUAUUAAGAUUCAGACCCGG